RNAcentral lists this long non-coding RNA (971 nucleotides) under Arabidopsis lyrata. RNAcentral describes it as "long non-coding RNA (ALYR_LNC003040)". The record is from RNAcentral. Lineage: Eukaryota; Viridiplantae; Streptophyta; Magnoliopsida; Brassicales; Brassicaceae.
AGCUCUCCUUGAACCAAUCACGUUCUGGUAAGGAAUUAAUAUUUUUAAUUACACAUCUCGCAAAUAAGCGAGACUUUUGAUUCCAAGUUUCCAAUAUUUUGUACAGAAAUUCCCAAUUCGAAAAAUCCCAAUCUAACCAAACAGUGAAACCCUUUGAUAAAAACAAAAUUCAGUAAUAUAAAAUAGAUAAUCGAGCUAAAGAAGCUAUAAAAAAGACAGGAUUACGAAAAAUUCAGAGAAUUUAUUCGAUAGAGAAAAGAAAUACUAAUGAGACUUGAAACACCUCUAACCCAACCCAGUUUGAAAGAGAUACUCUCUCACCUAGUGAAGAUGCUUUACACUUUUCCACUUUAUCUACGCCACUUCAGUAUCUCGCAUAGAUGUCAUACUUCUUUUAAAGUGCAUAUAUUCUUAGUUCAUGGUCCUUGUCUAGCCCUGCCUGGUCUAUGUUGCUCCUUAUGACAGUUUAUACAGUUUAUACAGUUUUGUUUGAAGUUUGUUUGGGUUAUAUAGUGCCCACAGCAAUAAGCAGACUUUCAAUGCAGCAAUAAGAAACUAGACACUGCUGUUCUCAAGAAGGAACACGAUAGUUUGACGGAUCGUAUGAGUAAAAUCAAAAGCGAUCUUCUUCAUCAAGCGUCGAUUGACUCUUCCGGCGUCUUUGCUUCUCGUCUCCGUCUACUUUUCGGUGAAGAUAAAAAGUGAUCGGAGAUUUGAUUGGUUUGAGUCAACGAGGUUAUCAUUUUCUUACUCGUGCGAUGUUAUUGUAGUUCUAAAACACAUGUCUCUCUGUCUUUAGAUUGGAAGAUUAUGGCGAAUGAAUAAGUAGGGCUUUUAAGGUGAUGUGAUUUCAGACAAUGGUGUAUCGUUUUAACUUAUUUGAGAAUCUGCUUAGUGAGAUCAUUAACUUUGUUGUGGCUGAAUCGGUUUGAUUUAGUUUUGAGCAAGGAGUUACAUGUUUCUUCUGAGGC